This is an RNA transcript of Leopardus geoffroyi (Geoffroy's cat), 1179 nucleotides long. It is a transcript of the gene named polyadenylate-binding protein-interacting protein 1-like, with no coding region annotated. NCBI's taxonomy places the organism in Eukaryota, Metazoa, Chordata, Mammalia, Carnivora, Felidae. The transcript is spliced from 2 exons. The record is from RefSeq and is a predicted model, not a curated record.
CAAGGGCAUUGUAUAAAAUCAUCACUGUCUCUAGGCUUUCUUAAAAAACUGCUUGGGACUCUCCUCUGUGGAGGGAAUGCCUUUCCCUACUCUGGAGGCGGGGCAGCCAUGGGCAGGGGCAGGGGGCUGCAGAUAGCACAGGCAUUUCAGAGAAUAAUCACAUCAAAAACAAAGUUCACCUGCCUGGAAUCUCUGAACUGUAUCUUUUAGUCUGAGAAGGAGUGUGGCUUCAGUUCUUUCUUCUACAGGCCCCUUUGCUGUGAGUUUCUUAAAGGAAGAUCAUGGGAAAUCAGGCUAGUGAGAAUAAAGAUGGGUUUCUGAAAGCAGCUUUCUGCUAGAUGUGCAAUAGACGUUUUUAGCCAGCUAAAUGGCAUUGUGUCAUGUCUUUUUGACUCACUUCCAUUGCUCUUUGUCACCUUUCCCUUUUCAGCAUUGGUUGUGUCCCCAAGCACUUGCAUCCACUCUUGCUGGAUCAGGGGAGUCAGAAUCUCUGAGCCCUGGCAGGUCUGAGGCUGCGAAGUCUCAGUACAGGUGGGAAGAGGUGCCAAGAAGGUGGGAAGGAGAAAAAAUUGCAGGUGAUCAUCACCUCUUUUGACUGGGACAGAAGACCAUGUAUGCAGUCAUGAAAACACCCAGUGUAAAACAUAAAAGGAAGGAGUAAUGGACAUAAAUAAUAGAAGCCAAUAGUCGAAGAUAGAAAACAUUGUAUUCAACAGAAUGCCAUUCAGAAGAGCUGUGUAUUUUUUCUGCGGAAGAAACACCUUGAAAACCCACUUAGAGUGGAAGACAAGAUCCCUAAGCUGAUCCAGAUUACCAAGAGAAGUAUCAAGAGUUACUUGAAAGAGUAACUCCAGAUUAUGAAGAAAAUGGUAUAGGCCAAUCGGCAGCUGGUGAUCCAUAUUUGGAUGAUGGUGAUGAUGAAAUGGACCCAGAGACAGAAGAAGCUUAUAACAAUUUGGUUUGGACUCAGAGCAUAAGUGAAAGCGAUAAAGCCAAAUUUCAGCAUAUCAGUUUUAUAAAGCAAUUUGGGUUAUGGUGAUUUGGCAGAACAUAGAAAAUGAAGAAAAUGUGUCACACUUAGACCAAAUUAAGGAUGUUGAGUUAUGUUACUGAUGUAUGCAAACUUUAAUGUUGCAUAACACUAUCUGCCAAAAGAAACUUUAUUCUCUAUAGCUUAAA